Molecule: ribosomal RNA, 482 nt
Filed under: uncultured bacterium
Lineage: Bacteria
Description: bacterial SSU rRNA
Rfam family: Bacterial small subunit ribosomal RNA
Source: RNAcentral
GACGAACGCUGGCGGCGUGCCUAACACAUGCAAGUCGAACGGAACUGUUUUGAAAGAUUUCUUCGGAAUGAAUUUGAUUUAGUUUAGUGGCGGACGGGUGAGUAACGCGUGAGUAACCUGCCCUCAAGAGGGGGAUAACAUUCUGAAAAGAAUGCUAAUACCGCAUGACAUAUCGGAACCACAUGGUUUUGGUAUCAAAGAUUUUAUCGCUUGAAGAUGGACUCGCGUCCGAUUAGUUAGUUGGUGAGGUAACGGCUCACCAAGACCGCGAUCGGUAGCCGGACUGAGAGGUUGAACGGCCACAUUGGGACUGAGACACGGCCCAGACUCCUACGGGAGGCAGCAGUGGGGGAUAUUGCGCAAUGGGGGCAACCCUGACGCAGCAACGCCGCGUGAAGGAUGAAGGUUUUCGGAUUGUAAACUUCUUUUAUUAAGGACGAAACUUGACGGUACUUAAUGAAUAAGCUCCGGCUAACUACGUG